This 61-nucleotide microRNA precursor is filed under the name Fukomys damarensis (Damara mole-rat). Lineage: Eukaryota; Metazoa; Chordata; Mammalia; Rodentia; Bathyergidae. The record is from RNAcentral.
AAGAUGGUUGACCAUAGAACAUGCGCUGGCUCGGUGACGUAUGUAACAUGGUCCACGUCUU